This 486-nucleotide ribosomal RNA is filed under the name uncultured bacterium. RNAcentral's name for it is "partial 16S ribosomal RNA". It matches the Rfam family "Bacterial small subunit ribosomal RNA", at positions 28 to 507 of the family's 1533-position model. The record is from RNAcentral.
GAUGAACGCUGGCGGCAUGCCUAACACAUGCAAGUCGAACGGCCACACGGGUGCUUGCACCCGGUGGCGUGUGGCGCAGGGGGGAGUAAUACAUGGGAACAUGCCAUGUAGUGGGGGAUGACACGGCCAAAGCAGGGGUAAUAACGCAUAAGAACAACUGAAGAAAGAUGGGGACCUUCGGGACUCGCGCUUUGCGGUCGGCCGUUGGCGGAUUAGCUAGUUGGUGGGGUAAAGGUCUACCAAGGCGACGCCAAGUAGCCGAUCUGAGAGGACGACCAGCCACACUGGAACUGAGACACGGCCCAGACUCCUACGGGAGGCAGCAGUGGGGAAUUUUGGACAAUGGGCGAAAGCCUGAUCCAGCAAUGCCGCGUGUGUGAAGAAGGCCUUCGGGUUGUAAAGCACUGUUGUCCGGGAAGAAAACCUUGGCCCUAAUACGGUCGCGGGAUGACGGUACCGGAUGAAUAAGCACCGGCUAACUACGUG